AGUGAACGCUGGCGGUAGGCCUAACACAUGCAAGUCGAACGGCAGCACAGUAAGAGCUUGCUCUUACGGGUGGCGAGUGGCGGACGGGUGAGGAAUAUAUCGGAAUCUACUUUUUCGUGGGGGAUAACGUAGGGAAACUUACGCUCAUACCGCAUACGCCCUACGGGUGAAAGCAUGGGAUCUUCGGACCUUGCGCGAUUGAACGAGCCGAUGACGUAUUUGCUAGUUGGCGGGGUAAAGGCCCAGCAGGGCGACGAUCCGUAGCUGGUGUGAGAGGAGGGUCGGCCGCACUGGAAGUGAGACGCGGUCCAGGCGCCUGCGGUAGGCAGCAGUGGGGUAUGUUAGGCAAUGGGCGCGAGCCUGGUCCAGCGAUACCGCGUGGGUGGAGGAGGCCUUCGGGUUGUAAAGCCCGUUUGUGGGGAGAGAAAAGCAGCAGGUUGAUACCCAGCGGUUCUGACGGUACCCAGAGAAUAAGCACCGGCUAACUUCGUG
Molecule: ribosomal RNA, 492 nt
Filed under: uncultured bacterium
Lineage: Bacteria
Description: partial 16S ribosomal RNA
Rfam family: Bacterial small subunit ribosomal RNA
Source: RNAcentral